UGGAUGAUGUGGUUAAUUCGAUGCAACGCGAAAAACCUUUACCUACCCUUGACAUGCCAGGAAUCCUGCAGAGAUGUGGGAGUGCUCGCAAGAGAGCCUGGACACAGGUGCUGCAUGGCUGUCGUCAGCUCGUGUCGUGAGAUGUUGGGUUAAGUCCCGCAACGAGCGCAACCCUUGCCAUUAGUUGCUACGAAAGGGCACUCUAAUGGGACUGCCGGUGACAAACCGGAGGAAGGUGGGGAUGACGUCAAGUCCUCAUGGCCCUUAUGGGUAGGGCUUCACACGUAAUACAAUGGUCGGUACAGAGGGUUGCCAACCCGCGAGGGGGAGCCAAUCCCAGAAACCGAUCGUAGUCCGGAUUGCAGUCUGCAACUCGACUGCAUGAAGUCGGAAUCGCUAGUAAUCGCGGAUCAGCAUGUCCGCGGUCGAAUACGUUCCCGGGCCUU
RNAcentral lists this ribosomal RNA (446 nucleotides) under uncultured Tepidimonas sp. RNAcentral describes it as "bacterial SSU rRNA". It matches the Rfam family "Bacterial small subunit ribosomal RNA", at positions 933 to 1382 of the family's 1533-position model. The record is from RNAcentral. Lineage: Bacteria; Pseudomonadati; Pseudomonadota; Betaproteobacteria; Burkholderiales.